GCUGGCGGCAGGCCUAACACAUGCAAGUCGGCGGUAACAGGGAAGCUUGCUUCCGCUGACGAGCGGCGGACGGGUGAGUAAUGCAUAGGAAUCUGCCUGGUAGUGGGGGGAUAGCCCAGAGAAAUUUGGAUUAAUACCGCAUACGCCCUACGGGGGAAAGCAGGGGGGACGUCUUCGGAGCCUUGCGCUAUCAGAUGAGCCUAUGUCGGAUUAGCUUGUUGGUGAGGUAACGGCUCACCAAGGCGACGAUCCGUAGCUGGUCUGAGAGGAUGAUCAGCCACACUGGGACUGAGACACGGCCCAGACUCCUACGGGAGGCAGCAGUGGGGAAUAUUGGACAAUGGGCGCAAGCCUGAUCCAGCCAUGCCGCGUGUGUGAAGAAGGCCUUCGGGUUGUAAAGCACUUUCAGCGGGGAGGAAAGGAUGGUUGCUAAUAUCAGCCGUCUGUGACGUUACUCGCAGAAGAAGCACCGGCUAACUCCGUG
This 484-nucleotide ribosomal RNA is filed under the name uncultured bacterium. RNAcentral describes it as "bacterial SSU rRNA". It matches the Rfam family "Bacterial small subunit ribosomal RNA", at positions 35 to 507 of the family's 1533-position model. The record is from RNAcentral.